CCAAAAACGGACCAUCCUCCUUUUUAGAAAAAUUACCUACUAAACUUGAUAGGCAAAAUUGUUACUAGAUUAAAAGAUUAUGGAAACUAAAGUAAACCCAGUCUAAAGUCUUAAAAAAUAUAUCAAUAUAUAUUUAGUAUUUCUAGGGUAUUAAGGUUAAUACGGUGCCAGCAACCGCGGUCAAACCUUAUUAAUAAAUAAUUUAUAAUAAUCUAUUUAUAAAAUAAUAUGUGCUUAUAUAGUGUAUAGUAAAAUGUUACUAUAUCAAAAAAGUUAAGUGUAUUUUCCUAUACGCCAAAAUAAGGUAAAAAACUAGGAUUAGAUACCCUAUUAUUCUUAAUGAAAAAGACCAUAGAUUGAGGAGUAAAAUUACUAUAAACUCAAAAGUCAUGGCGGCUGUUAUGAUUUAUCAGGGGAGCUUACCAAGUAAUUGAUAACCACCAAGAUAUUCUUCUUAAGUUAAAAAGUUUGUAUGCCGUCGUCUUAAAUUUUUCAAAGGAAAAUUUUUUUUGCCUAAGAGAGGCGAGAAGACAGAUCAAGGUGCAGCUGAUACUAAAGAUUUAAGGCGAGCUACAGUAACUAAAUAUUCACCCAUGCGACUUAAAAAUAUCGCUGAAGUUGGACUUGAAAGUAAGCCAUAAUAAAAAUCAAUAACUGAAUAGCUUAUUAAUAGUGC
This 676-nucleotide ribosomal RNA is filed under the name Orcula dolium. RNAcentral's name for it is "partial 12S ribosomal RNA". The record is from RNAcentral. Lineage: Eukaryota; Metazoa; Mollusca; Gastropoda; Stylommatophora; Orculidae.